CCUACGGGUGGCUGCAGUGGGGAAUUUUGGACAAUGGGGGCAACCCUGAUCCAGCCAUGCCGCGUGAGUGAAGAAGGCCUUCGGGUUGUAAAGCUCUUUCGGCCGGGAAGAAAUCGCUCAAGCUAAUACCUUGGGUGGAUGACGGUACCGGGAGAAGAAGCACCGGCUCACUACGUGCCAGCAGCCGCGGUAAUACGUAGGGUGCGUGCGUUAAUCGGAAUUACUGGGGGUGAAGCGUGCAGAGGGGGCGGAAAUCCCAGGGCUUAACCUGUGAACUGCGGUUGUGACUGUGGUGCUCGAGUGCGGCAGAGGGAGGUGGAAUUCCACGUGUAGCAGUGAAAUGCGUAGAGAUGUGGAGGAACACCGAUGGCGAAGGCAGCCCCCUGGGUCGACACUGACGCUCAUGCACGAAAGCGUGGGGAGCAAACAGGAUUAGAUACCCCAGUAGUC
RNAcentral lists this ribosomal RNA (450 nucleotides) under uncultured bacterium. Its description in RNAcentral is "partial 16S ribosomal RNA". It matches the Rfam family "Bacterial small subunit ribosomal RNA", at positions 338 to 795 of the family's 1533-position model. The record is from RNAcentral.